Populus euphratica (Euphrates poplar) is the source of this 900-nucleotide long non-coding RNA. RefSeq lists it as uncharacterized. NCBI's taxonomy places the organism in Eukaryota, Viridiplantae, Streptophyta, Magnoliopsida, Malpighiales, Salicaceae. The transcript has 3 exons. The record is from RefSeq and is a predicted model, not a curated record.
AAGAGAAAUGUUGAACAAUGGAAACCAAACAUUGAGACAGGCAUUGAUGGUGAAAAAAUGCUAGGAACACUUCUGUAACUAAUUUGAGUUUCAGUUAGGCAUUGUGUCUGUGUACACGAGCAAGGACAAAUAGUGCAGCAAACCACAUCAUUAAGCCUGGGCAAUUUAAAAUACUUCGAAAGGUUUACUAGUCUUAAACCUUUUAAGUUUAUCCAUGCAUCAACGAACACUCUGAUAUAGUCUACUAGAUUUUGAGGAGCAUUUGCCCAUUCAGAACCUCUAGUUCAGUUUUUUAUGCACGAUAACAAAUGCUGAGAUGAGAAACAAACAUCAUGAAGACAUUCCUUACAAUAACUUAUUCUACCAUCAACUAUAUCUUGAUUUGGCUUUAAAGGACAGCCAUUCAAUAGCUAAAUCUGUUAGAUCAAUAUAUAAACAACCAGUGACGGAUAAUAGAUUUGCCUUGGUCAAGUAAACUGAAAGGUGAAUUUAUUUGGAUGUGAAAGAGGGCACCUAGCAUUGCAUUCCAGGCCCGAAUAAAUCUGCAAAGAAAAUUCAAGCCAGACCUCUGAUUGUAGCAACAUUCCCUGCAAAUAUCAAGGUCAUCCAUUCUAAAAGGGCCAAUGGGAAGAAACAAAAUUCAACCAUUAUUAAUUAGGGUCAUUUCUUGGUCUAAUGGUAAAAGCGUUGAACUGUCAGGUUUCAGCACAAUUUCCAUAUCUCUAUAAACAGAUAAAAUCCACCAACAUGAAUUCUAAUGAAAGAACAAAGCAAAGAUGGGUGAGGAAAACUCUUACCAUGAACUGCCCUUAUAGAUUACAUUUAACGGGAACCUGUAAAUGAAUCAAAAGGCAAAUAUAUCAAAGAGAAGACAAAAACUUUAUUGUCUUUGGAUCUUUU